This 622-nucleotide long non-coding RNA is filed under the name Salmo salar (Atlantic salmon). RNAcentral's name for it is "lncRNA (ENSSSAG00000113756.1, ENSSSAG00020066511.1)". The record is from RNAcentral. Lineage: Eukaryota; Metazoa; Chordata; Actinopteri; Salmoniformes; Salmonidae.
UCAGCCUGAACCCCCACUACAUACACCUGCUGCUGUUCAAAGUCCAGCUCUCCACCCAGAUACAGCUCCCCUGGAGAGAGAGAAUAGGUCACUCUACAGAAUGUAAAUGAUAAUGCUACAUUGUGUGACCCAGUGUCUACACUGCUCCCCAUGCACUCACUCAGCUGCACUGAUGCAGACAACGACUUUCUAACAGCCACCAUCACUAACGGUACACAGUUUUCAGGCUGCUGUUACCUGUUCAACUCUACCACAGGAUAACAGCGUUGGCUGUAGGGGAUGUCUACCAUCAACAACCUGCAGUGAUCUAUCUGCUGUUUACACCAUCUGGUUCUGCCUGAAGAGGAUUCGUAUGUUUGCAGUCAGGCAUUUUAGAGUAAUUGUGAUUUCAAUUACAGGUCGAUGUGAAGUUUGUAAUAUUUGAAAAGAUAUACUGUAUUGAAUACAUAAUCAUGCUGACAUCCUGUGUUGGAGGCUACUCCUAAAGGACUAUUCCUUGCGUAAUUGGUCAGUUGCUCGAUUAAGUUCUGGGUCCAUACAUGUUAAGAGAAGGGAUCAAGAAUUGCUAGAACGAUGUGCGGAACAAGGAGCUCCACCCUGUCUCUUUGCUCCACCCCCCCCC